RNAcentral lists this signal recognition particle RNA (130 nucleotides) under Piscirickettsia salmonis. RNAcentral describes it as "Bacteria_large_SRP". The stretch from base 18 to 114 matches the Rfam family "Bacterial small signal recognition particle RNA". Rfam says of the family: The signal recognition particle (SRP) is a universally conserved ribonucleoprotein involved in the co-translational targeting of proteins to membranes. Archaeal SRP consists of a 7S RNA and homologues of the eukaryotic SRP19 and SRP54 proteins. In most bacteria, the SRP consists of a 4.5S RNA and the Ffh protein (a homologue of the eukaryotic SRP54 protein). Lineage: Bacteria; Pseudomonadati; Pseudomonadota; Gammaproteobacteria; Thiotrichales; Piscirickettsiaceae. The record is from RNAcentral.
CAAGUCAAUGGUGGCUUUUUUGGUUCUCUCGCAACACUAGAUUGUGAACCCCGUCAGGCCCGGAAGGGAGCAGCGGUAGUGAUUGAUGUGUGUGCCGGGAGUCGGCUAAGAAAGCUGCCACCCUUUCUUG